Molecule: long non-coding RNA, 405 nt
Organism: Homo sapiens (human)
Lineage: Eukaryota; Metazoa; Chordata; Mammalia; Primates; Hominidae
Exons: 3
Source: RefSeq, a predicted model, not a curated record
UAGCCAGAAAUAAUUAGUAGCCUAACACCACAUGACAACUCCUACCUCAUUCACCUGACUUCAUCUCAUCACAUAGGCAUUAUAUCAUCUCACAGUCAUCACAAGAAAAAGAAGGACGGAAUGAAGUUGAUAAUAGUGAGACCUUGUUGGUACAAGACUACGUAACAUAACCUGCGCUUCUCAACAAAGAAUUGCUUUUCUGACUUCUGCACUCAGCUCCAGGUCAACAGUGGAAUAUUAGCAAAGUUUUGGAGGAGUCAAAAGAAACAGAUUUUCAUAUGAAGCAGAUUUUCAGCUGCAUGGGGGAUCAGCACCCUAACUCUCAUAUUGCUCAAGAUUCAACUGUAAUUAACUCUCAUUUACUAAAUGCAAACCAUUUAUUGUAAAAAUUAAAUAAAGCCCAGA